AGUCGAACGGCACCCCUCUCCGGAGGGAAGCGAGUGGCGAACGGCUGAGUAACACGUGGAGAACCUGCCCCCUCCCCCGGGAUAGCCGCCCGAAAGGACGGGUAAUACCGGAUACCCCGAGGUGCCGCAUGGCACCCCGGCUAAAGCCCCGACGGGAGGGGAUGGCUCCGCGGCCCAUCAGGUAGACGGCGGGGUGACGGCCCACCGUGCCGACAACGGGUAGCCGGGUUGAGAGACCGACCGGCCAGAUUGGGACUGAGACACGGCCCAGACUCCUACGGGAGGCAGCAGUGGGGAAUCUUGCGCAAUGGGGGGAACCCUGACGCAGCGACGCCGCGUGCGGGACGGAGGCCUUCGGGUCGUAAACCGCUUUCAGCAGGGAAGAGUCAAGACUGUACCUGCAGAAGAAGCCCCGGCUAACUACGUGCCAGCAGCCGCGGUAAUACGUAGGGGGCGAGCGUUAUCCGGAUUCAUUGGGCGUAAAGCGCGCGUAGGCGGCCCGGCAGGCCGGGGGUCGAAGCGGGGGGCUCAACCCCCCGAAGCCCCCGGAACCUCCGCGGCUUGGGUCCGGUAGGGGAGGGUGGAACACCCGGUGUAGCGGUGGAAUGCGCAGAUAUCGGGUGGAACACCGGUGGCGAAGGCGGCCCUCUGGGCCGAGACCGACGCUGAGGCGCGAAAGCUGGGGGAGCGAACAGGAUUAGAUACCCUGGUAGUCCCAGCCGUAAACGAUGGACGCUAGGUGUGGGGGGACGAUCCCCCCGUGCCGCAGCCAACGCAUUAAGCGUCCCGCCUGGGGAGUACGGCCGCAAGG
This 811-nucleotide ribosomal RNA is filed under the name uncultured bacterium. RNAcentral's name for it is "bacterial SSU rRNA". It matches the Rfam family "Bacterial small subunit ribosomal RNA", at positions 60 to 893 of the family's 1533-position model. The record is from RNAcentral.